AUACGUAGGGUGCGAGCGUUGUCCGGAAUUAUUGGGCGUAAAGAGCUCGUAGGCGGCCUGUUGCGUCCGCUGUGAAAGCCCGGGGCUUAACCCCGGGUCUGCAGUGGAUACGGGCAGGCUAGAGUUCGGCAGGGGAGACUGGAAUUCCUGGUGUAGCGGUGAAAUGCGCAGAUAUCAGGAGGAACACCGGUGGCGAAGGCGGGUCUCUGGGCCGAUACUGACGCUGAGGAGCGAAAGCGUGGGGAGCGAACA
This 252-nucleotide ribosomal RNA is filed under the name uncultured prokaryote. RNAcentral describes it as "partial 16S ribosomal RNA". It matches the Rfam family "Bacterial small subunit ribosomal RNA", at positions 523 to 774 of the family's 1533-position model. The record is from RNAcentral.